RNAcentral lists this ribosomal RNA (440 nucleotides) under uncultured bacterium. RNAcentral describes it as "partial 16S ribosomal RNA". It matches the Rfam family "Bacterial small subunit ribosomal RNA", at positions 338 to 795 of the family's 1533-position model. The record is from RNAcentral.
CCUACGGGGAGCAGCAGUGGGGGAUAUUGCACAAUGGGGGGAACCCUGAUGCAGCGACGCCGCGUGGGUGAAGAAGCGCCUCGGCGCGUAAAGCCCUGUCAGCAGGGAAGAAAAUGACGGUACCUGAAGAAGAAGCCCCGGCUAACUACGUGCCAGCAGCCGCGGUAAUACGUAGGGGGCAAGCGUUAUCCGGAUUUACUGGGUGGAAAGGGGGCGCAGACGGCGAUGCAAGCCAGGAGUGAAAGCCCGGGGCCCAACCCCGGGACUGCUCUUGGAACUGCGUGGCUGGAGUGCAGGAGGGGCAGGCGGAAUUCCUGGUGUAGCGGUGAAAUGCGUAGAUAUCAGGAGGAACACCGGUGGCGAAGGCGGCCUGCUGGACUGCAACUGACGUUGAGGUCCGAAAGCGUGGGGAGCAAACAGGAUUAGAUACCCCAGUAGUC